Cygnus olor (mute swan) is the source of this 794-nucleotide RNA transcript. It is a transcript of the gene named small nuclear ribonucleoprotein U11/U12 subunit 25, with no coding region annotated. The transcript is spliced from 7 exons. The record is from RefSeq and is a predicted model, not a curated record. Lineage: Eukaryota; Metazoa; Chordata; Aves; Anseriformes; Anatidae.
CGCGCCUCGCGCCGCCCCUUCCGGCCCGGCGAUGGCGGAGGCCGAGGAGGAGCUGGCGCACGCCGAGGUGCUGGAGCUCUUCCAGGCGGCGCUGGCGCGGCUGGUGCAGGACCCGCUGCUCUGCGACCUCCCGCCGCAGGUGACGCCGGAGGAGAUCGGCUCUCAGGUGGCGCUGGAGUACGGGCAGGCCAUGACGGUGCGCGUCUGCAAGGCGGACGGCGAGACCAUGCCCGUGGUGGUGGUGCAGAACGCGACCGUGCUGGAGCUGAAGAAGGCGCUGCGGAGGCACGUCCAGCUGCGGCAGGCGCGGCAGGGCGGCGCCCAGCACCUCAGCUGGAAGUACAUAUGGAGGACGUACCACCUAACCUACGCUGGAGAGAAACUGGCAGAUGACAGAAAGAAGCUGAGAGAGUAUGGCAUCAGAAACCGGGAUGAGGUCAGCUUCAUUAAGAAACUUCGAAAGUAACCUGUCAGACUUGAUGAAUCUCUGGAAAUCACUGUCAGAAAUGUGGCAGGUUGUUAACUAAUGCCUAGGAAGAUGAGGUCUCUGUGUUACACGUGACUGUCACCAUCCAGUUCAUUUGAUCCUCCUAGACAGCAGAGAAUCCAGCUCUACCAUGACCAGGCACUGGAUCCAGCACUCUCCUAGAGGAAAAGACUGUACCAUUUCCCAGAGAAGCAAACUCCAGUUGAAUAGAAAUUCCUACAUGUUUUCGCAGUCACUGUUCAAAAUGUUUCCCUCUGAGCUGUAUGCUGAAUGCACUAUCUGUGAUUAAAGAGGCUCUCUAGUUUUC